Molecule: long non-coding RNA, 245 nt
Organism: Bombina bombina (fire-bellied toad)
Lineage: Eukaryota; Metazoa; Chordata; Amphibia; Anura; Bombinatoridae
Exons: 3
Source: RefSeq, a predicted model, not a curated record
CAGCAGUUCCCAGUAAUGGAGUGAAAAGUGGAGAGAGAUACCUGGUGAAUGAUGUAGUUUCCUUCCAGUGUGAACCAGGAUACUCUUUGCAGGGUCACUCCCAUAUCUCCUGUAUGCCAGGCACUGUGAGACGCUGGAAUUAUCCUCCCCCUCUAUGCAUCGCUCAGUGUAGAGGGGUCUUAGAGGACAUGGAAGGCGUCAUUCUGAGUCCUGGAUUCCCAGGAAAUUAUCCCAGUAACUUGGAC